UUCAUUUACUGGGAACAAAAUUCCGUGUCGUAAGUGUGUGUUUAUGGCUUGGAGCGUGGAAUUUUUGAUUGAUAGCUGAUUUUUGUUGUUUGACGGGGGUGGUGAUAAAUGGGAAAUGGGACGUCAAGUGUGGCGGCAAAAUUUGCAUUCUUCCCGCCGGACCCACCCACGUACGACGUCUACUGUGAUGAAUUGGAUGGGCGGCUAGUGAUGAGUGGUUUAACGGCGGAUAAAAAUGUGGACGUCCAUUUGUUGCAAACCAAGGACGGGAAUAAGGUUGUGGCUACGUUCUGGAAGCACCCGACAGGAAGGUUCACCAUAUUGUACUCCCAUGGAAACGCUGCAGAUUUGGGACAGAUGCAGGACCUCUUUAUCGAGCUCAGGGCCCACCUUCGUGUCAAUAUCAUGAGCCAUCUGAGUUCAACACUUACCAUGACAUCGAGGCCGUCUGUAACUGUUUGAAGAAUGAAUAUGGAAUCAAGCAAGAGGAUGUUAUUUUGUGUGGUCAAUCUGUGGGGAGUGGUCCAACGCUACACUUGGCUGCUCGCUCACCGAGGUUGAGAGCUGUUGUUCUUCAUAGUGCUAUUCUUUCAGGAAUAUGAGUUCUGUACAAUGUCAAAUUGACAUUCUGGUUCGACAUUUUUAAAAACAUCGACAAAAUACAGAAUGUAAAUUACCCCAUUUUAGUUUAUACAUGGCACAAAUGAUGAUAUUGUCAAUUGGUCCCAUGGUAAGCGAUUGUGGGAACUUUCUAAAGAGAAAUACGAUCCCUUAUGGGUCCAAGGUGGAGGACACUGCAAUCUUGAAAAUUUCCUAGAGUACAUUAAGCAUUUGCGCAAAUUUUUGAAUGCAAUGGAAAAACACUCCUUUUCAAAACGAAACAAGGCACAACUUAGUGCAGCCUCGAGUAUAACAGAAUCCAAAUACAACAAGUGUUUGAGAUUUCCAAAAAGAUGAUUGAUUCUUUCUUAUCAGUUAGAAAAAUGAUGCACCAUGGGUUGCAACUACUUACUUCAUGUGUCUAUACAGAAAGGUAUGAAUUAGAAAUUAGCUUGUGUGGUCCAUAUCCUGUUGAGUUGGCAAUUUUCUUGGUCGAGAAUGACAAAUUUCCCAUCAGGAGGCAGCAUUGUAUAUCUAUGAAAACUCAAGUUAUCAUCUUACAUUUUAGAAUCAUGCAUGCUAGGAAUGUCAACAUUUAUUAUAGGGCAUGACGAUUGCCUGUAGAAACCAUUGUCUAUGUCCAUUUUCUUUAAUUAUUAUUCAUUUUUCUUCUGUGAGAAAAUGAUAAAAUUUAUCUGCACAAAUCAGUGUAAACUAAGUAUAAAA
Olea europaea var. sylvestris is the source of this 1326-nucleotide long non-coding RNA. RefSeq lists it as uncharacterized. The transcript is spliced from 4 exons. NCBI's taxonomy places the organism in Eukaryota, Viridiplantae, Streptophyta, Magnoliopsida, Lamiales, Oleaceae. The record is from RefSeq and is a predicted model, not a curated record.